UUUAAAUAUCACAGAAAGAAUGACCACUAGUGAUUCUGUGUUUAAAAAUUACAUUUUAAAUUAAUAACUCGUGGUCACUCGCGAUCGUAUGUACUUUUAGACAAGAUCCCCGCAAACAGAACAUUUCUGCACCAAACUCUCGCUUAGUCUUCAGAUGCACUUGUAUGUUUGGUUUUACUAGUUACCAGAAGAAAUUAGGAACUGCAGAAAAAUUACCAGAAGAAAUUAGGAACUGCAGAGACUACAGAGUAUUCUACAAUGAGACCAAGAAUUUCUUAGUCUUGAAAGCAUGGUCAAGACUUGGAUAAUCUUAGAAAGAAAUAUUUAAAUGUAUAUAGUUUCGUACAGUUUUGUUCUAACUUAGUUAAUUCGUAUUUUCCCCGAGCCGGCGGCGCGAAGCGCCGUGCGAGGGUACUAAUUCCGCA
Non-coding RNA from Paramuricea clavata, 425 nucleotides. NCBI's taxonomy places the organism in Eukaryota, Metazoa, Cnidaria, Anthozoa, Malacalcyonacea, Plexauridae. The record is from the annotation of a GenBank genome assembly.